RNAcentral lists this ribosomal RNA (254 nucleotides) under uncultured bacterium. RNAcentral describes it as "partial 16S ribosomal RNA". It matches the Rfam family "Bacterial small subunit ribosomal RNA", at positions 524 to 776 of the family's 1533-position model. The record is from RNAcentral.
UACGUAGGGGGCGAGCGUUGUCCGAAGUUACUGGGCGUAAAGCGCGCGUAGGCGGUCCUUUAAGUCUGAGGUGAAAGGUUCAGCGCUCAACGUGAACAGUGCCUUGGAGACUGGGGGACUUGAAUGUGGGAGAGGGCAGUGGAAUUCCUGGUGUAGCGGUGAAAUGCGUAGAUAUCGGGAGGAACACCAGUGGCGAAGGCGGCUUUCUGGCCUGUUCUUGACGCUGAGGCGCGAAAGCUAGGGGAGCAAACGGG